AAAACAGAUGUUGUACAUAAGGCACUGAUUUCUCAAAUUUUUAGAGAAGCUGAGGUUUCUGGUAUAGUGGUGAAAUUGGAAUUAACUAAAUGUCAUGCUUUUAAAAUUCAGUUUUAUAAGGCAUUGGUCAGUACGCAACCCUCGCUCGAGCAACGUGCCAAGAAUUCUGUUUCUUCCACUAGAAAGCAAUCCAGUGAAGUGGUUAAAGAAAGAGCUCUACAAACUGUUCAGCUGGGAUAUGCGGAUGUCUUGGAUUAUCUUGUUAGAAACCAGAAGCUGGAUCUUGGUGUUGUUGAUAACAAAAACAGAAAUCUUUUAUUUUUAGCCACUAUAUAUGAGCAGUCUAAGAUUCUGGACUAUUUCCUUGAAAUGGCACCUCCUAUACCUGAUAUAAACCAAGCCGCAGAAAAUGGAAACGCACCACUUCAUGCUGCAGUAAACACUGGAAAAAUGCAUCUUGUAUCUUUGCUUUUGCACUACCCUGGAAUUAAUGUGAAUGUCCAGAAUUCGCAGUGCGACGGGGCAACUCCACUACAUCUUGCUAUUGUUUUUGGGCAUCUGGGAAUUUGCUAUUUAUUGCUGAAUGCUACUGCGGAUGUCGAAAGCCCCAUGGGAAGGCUGACACCUUUGCAACUUGCUGAAAUAUUUGGUAAUGAAACUAUAAUUGGCCUUAUAAAAAUGUACAUAAGGAAAUUAAAGCUACAAAAUAAAGUGUUUGCCUGAUGAGCUUCACUGAAGAAAAUUCCACAAAACCUUUUUUUAAAAUGUACUUAUUCAAUCUCUCGCUCAAUUGCUGUCUUGCUCUAUUUUGUAUUAAAGAUUCCUUGCCCCCCAAAACUUUGGAAGUUCUGGUGCUUUCUUCUUUAAAAGUACGAUAUUUUGUUCUAGUGGUACAAAAUGCUUUAAUUGGUCUUUUGUUUUGAUUUUAAUUUUUAAAUCUAAAGCUGCUCCCCAAUUUCUUGACUUUCUGGUUUUAGGACGGAGUGCAUUAGAAGAGACAAACUUGUGUAGAGAAAACAAGGAUCAUGCCAUUCCAGAGUGAAUAAUGAUGAGUGGUCUAGUGCAGGGGUCUCCAAACUUUUCAGUAUGAGGGCCACAUCGUAUAUUUUACACAGUUUCAAGGGCUGAAGGAGGGAAAGGGGACCCAAGCGAUCCCCUACCCCCCACUGUCUUUGUAAAGACAGCAGGGGAUGUGGGGUCGCUUGGGUCCGCUUUCCCUCCUCUCCCUAUGCCUGGGCUGGAUGAAAAGGCAAGGUGGGACGGAUGUGGCCCAUAGGCCAUCAUUUGGAGGGCCUUGGGAACUACCAUAUUUUUCCAUGUAUAAGACCAUACUUUUGUCUAAAAAUUUUAGACUAAAAUUUAGUGUCCUCUUAUACAUGGAAGUAAGCUGAGGAGAGAAAAAAACCAAGUGGAAGGAAAAGCAGGGAUCAAAGUGAUCCUGCAGGGCUUUGAUCCCUGUUUUCCCGUCCACUUGCUAAACCUUAGCAAAAGGAAAGCAGGGAUCAAGGCACUCCAGGAUGGCUUUGAUCCUUGCUUUCCCCUCUGCUUACUAAGUCCCAUGGGGCUUAGCAAGUGUAGUGGGAAAGAAUCAAAGCAAUCCUGCAGUGCUUUGAUCCCUUUCCCCCUAUACUUGCUAAACCCCGAUUUCUUAAUUAAUUUUGGGUUAGAAAAAUCGGGGCAUCUUAUACAUGGGGCCGUCUUAUACACGGAAAAAUACGGUAGUGCUCACAGGAGUCUCAUUAUCUGGGAACAUGAAAUAUUUGAGCAUGUUGGGGGAAGAAUGUCUGAGGAAAUGGGUUUUGAUCUCUGAAAGCUCACACUGAGAUAAAUCUGUUAAUCUUUAAGGCGUCACAAUAUUUUGUCCUCUCUUUUCACAUUCUCCUUUUCUUUUCUUGCCAAAAUGUAUAGAUCCUGCAGUCCUUAGUAAUGCAUUCAAGAGCUUUGCUUUACAAAAAUAUGCAUAACCUAGUUUUCAAAUCUUUAUCAGAGUUGUUUAUCAUAUUUAGAUUAAAAAAGAGAAUAUAUGAAAAACUGUGCUUGAGUCUAUCAAAGAUUGAUCUUGUCCUACAUAUGUUUUUAGAUAAGAAGGUCUCUGGAAAACCAUAGGUCUCUGGAAAAUUCCCAAGCAGGACAGGACAACAGAACUACCCUGUGCCCCAAUUCGUCAGCAAGUGCCACUGCCUAGUGUACUUCCUCUGAUAUGGGACAUAAUACAGUGGUGCCUCGCUUAACGAGCGCACCGUAUAACGAUGAAAUCGCAUAGCGAUCCGUUUUUUUGGAUCGCUAAUGCGAUCGCUCAACGAGCUUCAGAUAGGGAGAAUUUCGCUUUGCGAAGAUCGGUAAGCGUUUCGCUUACCGAUCUUCGCAAAACGAAGCUCCGACGAUCAGCUGUUUGAUGGACAAAAUGGCCGCCGGAAGCCUCAAAAUGGCCGCGCGCAGCAUUUUUGCGCCCUCCCCUCGCUUAACGAGGGCGCGAAAGUGGCUGCCGGCCAUAGGAAACCUCGCUGAACGGUGAGUAGAGGAGCCUUUUGGAACGCAUUAAACGAUGUUUAAUGCGUUCCAAUGGCUUUCCCUGCCCCGUUCAGCGAUGUUUCGCUAUAGCGAAGGUUAAUCCGGAACGGAUUAACCUCGCUAUGCGAGGCACCACUUGUACAAUAAUGAACAGUAACCUCUUUCUAACAUGGUCCAAUUUGCCAGCUACUGUUAUGGCAGUUUAACUAUGCAAACCAGCCCAUGUAUAUAGCACAGCUAUCAUAAUAACCAUGGAACUUGGUUACAAGCUGCAAAAAGAAAAAAGAAAACUACUGGCACUCCAAAAUGGAAAAUUCGGCUGUAAAGAAAAAUAAAGAAAUUACAUGCAGACA
Molecule: long non-coding RNA, 2864 nt
Organism: Pogona vitticeps (central bearded dragon)
Lineage: Eukaryota; Metazoa; Chordata; Lepidosauria; Squamata; Agamidae
Source: Ensembl